GGUGGCUCAGUGGUAGAGCGCUUGCCUUGCAUCCAUGAGGCCCUGGGUUCGAUUCCCCAGCACCA
This is a non-coding RNA of Dipodomys ordii (Ord's kangaroo rat), 65 nucleotides long. The record is from Rfam. NCBI's taxonomy places the organism in Eukaryota, Metazoa, Chordata, Mammalia, Rodentia, Heteromyidae.